AUACGGAGGGUGCAAGCGUUACUCGGAAUCACUGGGCGUAAAGCGCGCGCAGGCGGCUAUUUAAGUUGGAUGUGAAAGCCUAUGGCUCAACCAUAGAACUGCAUCCAAAACUAUUUAGCUAGAGUGUGGGAGAGGAAGAUGGAAUUAGUUGUGUAGGGGUAAAAUCCGUAGAGAUAACUAGGAAUACCAAAAGCGAAGGCAAUCUUCUGGAACACUACUGACGCUGAGGCGCGAAGGCGUGGGGAGCAAACAGGAUUAGAAACCCCGGUAGUCC
Molecule: ribosomal RNA, 274 nt
Filed under: uncultured bacterium
Lineage: Bacteria
Description: partial 16S ribosomal RNA
Rfam family: Bacterial small subunit ribosomal RNA
Source: RNAcentral